This 465-nucleotide ribosomal RNA is filed under the name Vreelandella stevensii. Its description in RNAcentral is "partial 16S ribosomal RNA". It matches the Rfam family "Bacterial small subunit ribosomal RNA", at positions 338 to 795 of the family's 1533-position model. The record is from RNAcentral. Lineage: Bacteria; Pseudomonadati; Pseudomonadota; Gammaproteobacteria; Oceanospirillales; Halomonadaceae.
CCUACGGGGGGCUGCAGUGGGGAAUAUUGGACAAUGGGCGAAAGCCUGAUCCAGCCAUGCCGCGUGUGUGAAGAAGGCCUUCGGGUUGUAAAGCACUUUCAGUGGGGAAGAAAGCCUUGGGGCUAAUACCCUCGAGGAAGGACAUCACCAACAGAAGAAGCACCGGCUAACUCCGUGCCAGCAGCCGCGGUAAUACGGAGGGUGCGAGCGUUAAUCGGAAUUACUGGGCGUAAAGCGCGCGUAGGCGGUCUGAUAAGCCGGUUGUGAAAGCCCCGGGCUCAACCUGGGAACGGCAUCCGGAACUGUCAGGCUAGAGUGCAGGAGAGGAAGGUAGAAUUCCCGGUGUAGCGGUGAAAUGCGUAGAGAUCGGGAGGAAUACCAGUGGCGAAGGCGGCCUUCUGGACUGACACUGACGCUGAGGUGCGAAAGCGUGGGUAGCAAACAGGAUUAGAUACCCCGGUAGUC